AGCUUUGCACAAUGGAAGUAUCAUAGCUAAUUAGGUUUAUAUGAGGCAAGAUUAUUGCAAAUUGAAAACUUUUCCUAAUACCCUGCCAUGACAACUUGAAAUAGAAAGAUAACAUGACAAAGAUAAGGCAAUAAAUAUCAGUUA
This is a small nuclear RNA of Cavia porcellus (domestic guinea pig), 144 nucleotides long. It matches the Rfam family "U4 spliceosomal RNA". From Rfam's summary of the family: U4 small nuclear RNA (U4 snRNA) is a component of the major U2-dependent spliceosome. The structure of U4 snRNA from yeast and human has been reported. U4 snRNA presents a k-turn RNA motif in the 5p-SL related to recognition of Snu13 protein. NCBI's taxonomy places the organism in Eukaryota, Metazoa, Chordata, Mammalia, Rodentia, Caviidae. The record is from Rfam.